GCUGGCGGCAGGCCUACACAUGCAAGUCGAACGGAGUUAUAUUGUAGCUUGCUAUGGUAUAACUUAGUGGCAGACGGGUGAGUAAUGUAUAGGAAUCUACCUAGUAGUACGGAAUAAUUGUUGGAAACGGCAACUAAUACCGUAUACGCCCUACGGGGGAAAAAUUUAUUGCUAUUAGAUGAGCCUAUAUUAGAUUAGCUAGUUGGUGGAGUAAUAGCCUACCAAGGCAAUGAUCUAUAGCUGAUCUGAGAGGAUGAUCAGCCACACUGGAACUGAGAUACGGUCCAGACUCCUACGGGAGGCAGCAGUGGGGAAUAUUGGACAAUGGGCGAAAGCCUGAUCCAGCCAUGCCGCAUGAGUGAAGAAGGCCUUUGGGUUGUAAAGCUCUUUUAGUGAGGAAGAUAAUGACGGUACUCACAGAAGAAGUCCUGGCUAACUCCGUGCCAGCAGCCGCGGUAAUACGGAGAGGGCUAGCGUUAUUCGGAAUUAUUGGGCGUAAAGGGCGCGUAGGCGGAUUAGUAAGUUAAAAGUGAAAUCCCAAGGCUCAACCUUGGAAUUGCUUUUAAAACUGCUAAUCUAGAGAUUGAAAGAGGAUAGAGGAAUUCCUAGUGUAGAGGUGAAAUUCGUAAAUAUUAGGAGGAACACCAGUGGCGAAGGCGUCUAUCUGGUUCAAAUCUGACGCUGAAGCGCGAAGGCGUGGGGAGCAAACAGGAUUAGAUACCCUGGUAGUCCACGCUGUAAACGAUGAAUGUUAAAUAUGGGGAAGUUUUACUUUCUGUAU
RNAcentral lists this ribosomal RNA (781 nucleotides) under uncultured bacterium. RNAcentral's name for it is "bacterial SSU rRNA". It matches the Rfam family "Bacterial small subunit ribosomal RNA", at positions 35 to 846 of the family's 1533-position model. The record is from RNAcentral.